CCUACGGGAGGCUGCAGUGGGGAAUAUUGGACAAUGGGGGAAACCCUUAUCCAGCGACGCCGCGUGAGGGAAGAAGGAUUUCGGGUUGUAAACCUCUGUCAGUGGGGACGAUAAUGACGCUACACCCCGUGGAAGCCCCAGCUAACUACGUGCCCGCAGCCGCGGUAAUACGUAGGGGGCAAGAGUUGUCCGGAUUUACUGGGUGUAAAGGGAGCGUAGACGGGAGGACAAGUCUGAAGUGAAAAUCAGGGGCUCAACCCCUGAACUGCUUUUGAAACUGUUAUUCUGGAGUGAAGUAGAGGCAAGCGGAAUUCCUAGUGUAGCGGUGAAAUGCGUAGAUAUUAGGAGGAACACCAGUGGCGAAGGCGGCUUACUGGACUGUAACUGACGGGGAGGCUCGAAAGCGUGGGGAGCAAACAGGAUUAGAUACCCCAGUAGUC
This 440-nucleotide ribosomal RNA is filed under the name uncultured bacterium. RNAcentral describes it as "partial 16S ribosomal RNA". It matches the Rfam family "Bacterial small subunit ribosomal RNA", at positions 338 to 795 of the family's 1533-position model. The record is from RNAcentral.